This 253-nucleotide ribosomal RNA is filed under the name uncultured bacterium. Its description in RNAcentral is "partial 16S ribosomal RNA". It matches the Rfam family "Bacterial small subunit ribosomal RNA", at positions 524 to 776 of the family's 1533-position model. The record is from RNAcentral.
UACGUAGGGGGCUAGCGUUGUCCGGAUUUAUUGGGCGUAAAGAGCGUGUAGGCGGCCAGGUAGGUCUGGUGUGAAAACUCGAGGCUUAACCUCGAGAUGUCAUCGGAAACCAUCUGGCUAGAGUCCGGAAGAGGAGAGUGGAAUUCCUGGUGUAGCGGUGAAAUGCGCAGAUAUCGGGAGGAACACCAAUGGCGAAGGCAGCUCGCUGGGACGUGACUGACGCUGAGACGCGAAAGCGUGGGGAGCAAACAGG